Cygnus olor (mute swan) is the source of this 1075-nucleotide long non-coding RNA. RefSeq lists it as uncharacterized. The transcript has 4 exons. NCBI's taxonomy places the organism in Eukaryota, Metazoa, Chordata, Aves, Anseriformes, Anatidae. The record is from RefSeq and is a predicted model, not a curated record.
AUAUUGAAGGGAGAUCCUGAGCUAUGGACAGGAAGCUGAAGAGCAGAAAAUAAUAAAAAAUACUACAUUUUCCUGUUAUAGAUGCCUUAAACCUGCUAUUUGGCUGAGAGAAACAGUAAAGAAAAAGCACCAAGGUUGUGGCUGUAGGAUAUGCAUAAGCCUCCUCCCUCCACAUUGUUUGUUGCAGCUAAGAGAUAAUGGAGCAAAUCAGUCUUCAAUAGAUUGGUUUUGAGCUGUGUGCUUCAAGUGGGACAAGCAUGUGAUAGAGGAGAGGCAUAGGACCAUCCUUCAUGUGAAAGACUAUUUUUCACACUUUCAGUAAGGCCAGGACUUCUGGUGGGCUUUAGGAGCUUUACUGCAGUGUAUGAGCAGGGUUAGCAGACCAGAGCCUGAUCUGGGGACUGUUUGGAGCUGAAAGUCUCCAUGCCUACCUUCCUGCUUUGUUGCAGUAUUUCCAUGGCAACCAGUUGCUAUAAAAAAUUCUUUCUAAAUAUACCACUUGUACUCUUUUCCUGCUUUAGGUUUUUCCUUUUAGUUAUCCACUACUGUGAAAAUUAUUCUGUCAUGUUGUCUUACUUAUUUGCACUUAAUGCAAGUGGCUUUGUAUUCAUUUUGUUAUUAUUAGCUGCAUUAGUUUCAACUGCUCACAUUAACAGAGAAGAUAUAGGGCUAAAUGAUGAGUCGCUGUAGCACAGAAAAAUGUAAACUCUGACAAUGAAAAAAUAAAAAGUCAAGGUGAAUAUGUUCAGCAGAAAGUAUCAGGCACAGUUGAUUUUGCUCCUACAGAUUUCUUUUUCAUACCCCGUCCACCAUUUGCUAUUAGUUGUCUAAUAUGAUCCUAGCUUAGCUUCCAUCCAGAUAUAACAAAACAAAUCAGACGUGGCAGAGAGUUUCCCCUUCCAGUCCUUUGCCCUGCAAAUGAGAGCCUAGAUGCUUCCAGGCAGGCAGCAAACAACAGCAGUGAAUGCCAGAGAUGACAUUUCAACUGGUGUUCAAGGAGUGCCAUACAAAUAUCGUGUUCUUUAUCCGCUAACAAAACUGCCCCACUUGUGUGCCAAAAGUUAGCUAAUGAGCU